Molecule: transfer RNA, 54 nt
Filed under: Argiope perforata
Lineage: Eukaryota; Metazoa; Arthropoda; Arachnida; Araneae; Araneidae
Description: tRNA-Arg
Source: RNAcentral
UAAGAAAGAGCUAUAUAAGCAGCUUAAUUUCGACUUAAGUAGUGGAUUUAGUAG